CGGUAGCUCAGCUGGAUAGAGCAUCUGCCUUCUAAGCAGAGGGUCGUGGGUUCGAGUCCCGCCCGG
Molecule: transfer RNA, 66 nt
Filed under: bovine gut metagenome
Rfam family: tRNA
About the family: Transfer RNA (tRNA) molecules are approximately 80 nucleotides in length. Their secondary structure includes four short double-helical elements and three loops (D, anti-codon, and T loops).
Source: RNAcentral